UUUAGUAUUAAUUUUACACUUUUACUCUUACCAAUAGAAAACUCUACUUUGAAUUUUUUUAAAAAAAAAAAAACGCCUAGGGGCACAUAACUCCGUGAGCUCUAAGGUAGCUCCGCCACUAGUGUCCUUAUCAAUUUGAGUUUGUACAUAUGACUCAAAAAUUUAUUAGAUGCUCCUCUGUCUCUCUUAUUUUGUAUAAUGAAAAUAGAAAUUAGGUUGGAUGAAAUUUAUCGUUAACGCGAGGAGACCGCAUAAGGUUAUGGAUGAAAUUAAAAAAAUAAUAUACAAAUUAAAGUAAUAAGUGACUUAAAAUAAGGACUAAAAUUCAAAAGGGUCCUGAUUGUUACAUGGCUUUUCACCUCAAGGUCCUCAACGCCCGGAUGAAAUUGCACAUUGUUGCUCCAUCUAAAAGUGGAUAUUCUGAUUCUAAUUCUUCUGAAUUCUGAUCUCUCCACCAAAAAGCUGUUUUCUCAGUUAAUCAUGAAUCAUAAAGGAAGGAAAAAGAUUGAGGUUGGUGGAACUUGUUCUAGUGUAGCAUUGGAGGAAAGGGGAUCCAGAAAUGUGAUAGAGAUGUCCACCCACAAUGGUCCUUAAGAUGAGGUGCAGAGUUUGAUAAACAUAAAGCAAGGAGAGGCAUGAAAAAUGUUGGUUGAGCAAUAAUAGUACAAAGUGUACGGACAAUACUCUCCAUAAUAUCGUUCAAGAUUCGAACAUCUGGGAUGAAGCUCUGUUAGGAGUUUGGACCUGCAAACCCAGAUAGCUCAUAUUGCAAUACCUUGUAGAAGUUGUGAUUUUUGUCAUUGUAACUUGUAAGACUAUGUACCAUUAUUAUCGUUCUAAUAGUCAUUUGUAUAGCCUUUUUUGGUACUA
Amaranthus tricolor (Joseph's coat) is the source of this 870-nucleotide long non-coding RNA. RefSeq lists it as uncharacterized. Lineage: Eukaryota; Viridiplantae; Streptophyta; Magnoliopsida; Caryophyllales; Amaranthaceae. The record is from RefSeq and is a predicted model, not a curated record. The transcript has 4 exons.